GAGAAGAAUUCAUUAUUCUUAUCUUUUCUUUCUUCUUCUUUUUUCUUUCCUCUUUUCGUUUCUUCUUCUCUUUUCUUCUGCUUCUCCUCUGCUCUCCUAUGUUGAUGUUCGAUAGAUGAAUGGAGGGUGAUUUUGUUUUUAGAGAUUCAUAAGAAGCUUCGGGUGUUGACGCAAAGGAGUAGGUGACGGUGUGGUGAUCGAUUAAGCCUCGAAGAAGAAGAAUCUGAUGCUGCUGAAAAUUAAAAGUUAGGGUUUUGUUUCGGAGUUAUGAAGGAAUCAAGAGAACUUGAUGAUUCUGUUGAGGGUUUGGUGAUUUAUGGUGGUGUUGAUUCGGGAAGUGAUUCAACUCAGAAGUUUUGGUAAGUCAGAUUCAGGGUUCUCUUAUUUGGGUUUGAUUUUUUGAAAUAGAGUAAAAAGUAAUGAAUCUUAUAUGGGUUUGUUCAAUUGAAGUUGAAUCGGUUAUAUGGAGGUUUAAUUUGAGGUAAUUGUGAAUUCAGAGAAUUAGGGUUUCUCUCUUGUUCUUCCCCAAAUUAGAGAUUCGGGUUCUUAAGUCGGAAAUUAUUAGAUGCAGAAGAUAAAUUGAGGUUGUGAUGAUGCUGAAUAAUGGUUUUGUGUUAUGUUUGACUGCAAAUGAUAAGAUUGAUUUGACAUAAAUCUAUGGUUAUAAUUAUAUAGAGAAUUAGUGUGGGUGUUUCAAAUGAUACUGGAAUUGUACAAGUACUGGUAGUAUUUUUGGAAUUGUAAGUGUUGAGGUUUGAUUGUGUAGGUGAAAUGAAAAUGGAGAUAUAGAUAAUGAUUUGAGUUACUGGUGAGAAUUAUGAACUGUAUGGAAUGAUAUGGUAAUCAAAUAAUGUUGUUAAGUUAAGAAUGAAUGAUCUGGUGAUGUAGGUAUGGUAGAUUGAAUUACAGAUGGUAAUGAUGAUGUUGUGGGGUUGGUUUCUCAUGCAGUUCAGUGUGUAUGUAUGGAAGUUGAGAGAAUGAAAUGAUGAGAAUGGUAUUACUAAAUUUACAGAUUGUGCAAGCAAGUUUGGAAAUGGAUUGGGUACAUCUACUGGGAAUUGUAUGUGCAGAUGAAGAGUGUGGAAGUGAUGUCUGGAGGGUAAGUAGAACUGUUAUUGGUAGAUGUUAGUGGAGCUGUAGUUGUAAUUGACUUGGUAGUUGAAGUGAAUUUCUUCUUGAAUUGAAUGUAUGUGUGCUGGAAUGGUAGGCUAUGGACUGUAGUUGUAUAUGUGAAGUGGCUGCAAGAACUCUUGGCGUAGGUUUGUGCUGUUAAGAUGUAUAAACUGAGUUGGUUCUAUUGCUGCCAUAGCAAAGGCUUUAUUGAAAGCUGCAUUUGCAGUUAGUCUGUAUUCAAAACGAUCGAUUCAAAGGAUGAACCAGUGGAUCUUGGAUCUCGAGGUAGACGAGGCUUGUCAUCAAAAGAGUUUUCAGAGACAAAUCAGAGUUGCGCAGCGAAAGCUUCAAGGGUUGAUUUCAUCAGUUAGUUUACUUCUGCUUUGUUUAUUAUGUUGUAUAUUCUUUUGUAAAGAAAAUGACAAUUGUAUAUGUAUCAUUUGAGAGGUAUUCUUAUUUAUAUAUUUCUGAGUGGGGCUAGUAUUUGGGUUAAGCUUUGCAGCAGAUUUCUUAAUUAAAUGUUUAAGUAAAUGAUUUAGAUUCUUAGUGCCUAUUUAUUGAGUUAAUUUCUUGGAUU
Long non-coding RNA from Papaver somniferum (opium poppy), 1690 nucleotides. RefSeq lists it as uncharacterized. The transcript has 3 exons. The record is from RefSeq and is a predicted model, not a curated record. Lineage: Eukaryota; Viridiplantae; Streptophyta; Magnoliopsida; Ranunculales; Papaveraceae.